CGGGACGGGUGAGUAAUGUCUGGGAAACUAGCCUGAUGAGGGGGAGUAACUACUGGAAACGGUAGCUAAUACCGCAUAACGUCGCAAGACCAAAGAGGGGGACCUUCGGGCCUCUUGCCAUCGGAUGUGCCCAGAUGGGAUUAGCUAGUAGGUGGGGUAACGGCUCACCUAGGCGACGAUCCCUAGCUGGUCUGAGAGGAUGACCAGCCACACUGGAACUGAGACACGGUCCAG
Molecule: ribosomal RNA, 234 nt
Filed under: uncultured bacterium
Lineage: Bacteria
Description: partial 16S ribosomal RNA
Rfam family: Bacterial small subunit ribosomal RNA
Source: RNAcentral